UUUAUGGAGAGUUUGAUCCUGGCUCAGGAUGAACGCUGGCGGCGUGCCUAAUACAUGCAAGUCGAGCGAACGGACGAGAAGCUUGCUUCUCUGAUGUUAGCGGCGGACGGGUGAGUAACACGUGGAUAACCUACCUAUAAGACUGGGAUAACUUCGGGAAACCGGAGCUAAUACCGGAUGAUAUUUUGAACCGCAUGGUUCAAAAGUGAAAGACGGUCUUGCUGUCACUUAUAGAUGGAUCCGCGCUGCAUUAGCUAGUUGGUAAGGUAACGGCUUACCAAGGCAACGAUGCAUAGCCGACCUGAGAGGGUGAUCGGCCACACUGGAACUGAGACACGGUCCAGACUCCUACGGGAGGCAGCAGUAGGGAAUCUUCCGCAAUGGGCGAAAGCCUGACGGAGCAACGCCGCGUGAGUGAUGAAGGUCUUCGGAUCGUAAAACUCUGUUAUUAGGGAAGAACAUAUGUGUAAGUAACUGUGCACAUCUUGACGGUACCUAAUCAGAAAGCCACGGCUAACUACGUGCCAGCAGCCGCGGUAAUACGUAGGUGGCAAGCGUUAUCCGGAAUUAUUGGGCGUAAAGCGCGCGUAGGCGGUUUUUUAAGUCUGAUGUGAAAGCCCACGGCUCAACCGUGGAGGGUCAUUGGAAACUGGAAAACUUGAGUGCAGAAGAGGAAAGUGGAAUUCCAUGUGUAGCGGUGAAAUGCGUAGAGAUAUGGAGGAACACCAGUGGCGAAGGCGACUUUCUGGUCUGUAACUGACGCUGAUGUGCGAAAGCGUGGGGAUCAAACAGGAUUAGAUACCCUGGUAGUCCACGCCGUAAACGAUGAGUGCUAAGUGUUAGGGGGUUUCCGCCCCUUAGUGCUGCAGCUAACGCAUUAAGCACUCCGCCUGGGGAGUACGACCGCAAGGUUGAAACUCAAAGGAAUUGACGGGGACCCGCACAAGCGGUGGAGCAUGUGGUUUAAUUCGAAGCAACGCGAAGAACCUUACCAAAUCUUGACAUCCUUUGACAACUCUAGAGAUAGAGCCUUCCCCUUCGGGGGACAAAGUGACAGGUGGUGCAUGGUUGUCGUCAGCUCGUGUCGUGAGAUGUUGGGUUAAGUCCCGCAACGAGCGCAACCCUUAAGCUUAGUUGCCAUCAUUAAGUUGGGCACUCUAAGUUGACUGCCGGUGACAAACCGGAGGAAGGUGGGGAUGACGUCAAAUCAUCAUGCCCCUUAUGAUUUGGGCUACACACGUGCUACAAUGGACAAUACAAAGGGCAGCGAAACCGCGAGGUCAAGCAAAUCCCAUAAAGUUGUUCUCAGUUCGGAUUGUAGUCUGCAACUCGACUACAUGAAGCUGGAAUCGCUAGUAAUCGUAGAUCAGCAUGCUACGGUGAAUACGUUCCCGGGUCUUGUACACACCGCCCGUCACACCACGAGAGUUUGUAACACCCGAAGCCGGUGGAGUAACCUUUUAGGAGCUAGCCGUCGAAGGUGGGACAAAUGAUUGGGGUGAAGUCGUAACAAGGUAGCCGUAUCGGAAGGUGCGGCUGGAUCACCUCCUUUCU
This 1554-nucleotide ribosomal RNA is filed under the name Staphylococcus aureus. RNAcentral describes it as "16S ribosomal RNA". It matches the Rfam family "Bacterial small subunit ribosomal RNA". The record is from RNAcentral. Lineage: Bacteria; Bacillati; Bacillota; Bacilli; Caryophanales; Staphylococcaceae.